GACGAACGCUGGCGGCGUGCUUAACACAUGCAAGUCGAACGAAGAGCGAUGGAAGCUUGCUUCUAUUAAUCUUAGUGGCGAACGGGUGAGUAACGCGUAAUCAACCUGCCCUUCAGAGGGGGACAACAGUUGGAAACGACUGCUAAUGCCGCAUACGAUCUGACCUCGGCAUCGAGGAUAGAUGAAAGGUGGCCUCUAUUUAUAAGCUAUCACUGAAGGAGGGGAUUGCGUCUGAUUAGCUAGUUGGAGGGGUAACGGCCCACCAAGGCGAUGAUCAGUAGCCGGUCUGAGAGGAUGAACGGCCACAUUGGGACUGAGACACGGCCCAGACUCCUACGGGAGGCAGCAGUGGGGAAUCUUCCGCAAUGGACGAAAGUCUGACGGAGCAACGCCGCGUGAGUGAUGACGGCCUUCGGGUUGUAAAGCUCUGUUAAUCGGGACGAAAGGCCUUCUUGCGAAUAGUUAGAAGGAUUGACGGUACCGGAAUAGAAAGCCACGGCUAACUACGUG
Molecule: ribosomal RNA, 510 nt
Filed under: uncultured bacterium
Lineage: Bacteria
Description: partial 16S ribosomal RNA
Rfam family: Bacterial small subunit ribosomal RNA
Source: RNAcentral